Molecule: ribosomal RNA, 394 nt
Filed under: uncultured bacterium
Lineage: Bacteria
Description: partial 16S ribosomal RNA
Rfam family: Bacterial small subunit ribosomal RNA
Source: RNAcentral
AUACGGGGGAUGCAAGCGUUAUCCGGAUUUAUUGGGUUUAAAGGGUGCGUAGGCGGAUGAUUAAGCGUGAGGUGAAAUGCCACUGCUCAACAGUGGAACUGCCUCGCGAACUGGUUGUCUUGAAUGCUCCUGCCGUGGGAGGAAUGUGUGGUGUAGCGGUGAAAUGCAUAGAGAUCACACAGAACACCGAUUGCGAAGGCAUCUCACGAAGGGGUGAUUGACGCUGAGGCACGAAAGCGUGGGGAUCAAACAGGAUUAGAUACCCUGGUAGUCCACGCAGUAAACGAUGAUAACUAACCGCUGGGUCGUAGUGAUUCAGUGGCCAAGCGAAAGCGAUAAGUUAUCCACCUGGGGAGUACGACCGCAAGGUUGAAACUCAAAUGAAUUGACGGGG